This is a non-coding RNA of Callithrix jacchus (white-tufted-ear marmoset), 1450 nucleotides long. The record is from RefSeq and is a predicted model, not a curated record. NCBI's taxonomy places the organism in Eukaryota, Metazoa, Chordata, Mammalia, Primates, Cebidae.
CAGCGCUGCCCGUCACCAGCAGGUCACCGCCUGGGGAACACUCGCAGCCCACUGAGUAGCCCUCCACCUUGUGCCCUUCAUAGCGCCGCCGUCUGCUCAUCCGGUAGGGCCACACAGUGGAGAAAAGGGCCAGGUCUGUUAGAUGCAGGGCGAAGUCAAAGCCACCACUGAGGAUGCGCCGGCCACAGGGAGACCAGCGGGCGGCCCGCACUGCCUCUGUGUGCAGGGAGUAGGUCUGCAGGCAGUACCCAGAGUCCACAGCGUUCCAUACCUUGAAAGUUUUAUCCAUAGAAGUGGAGAGAAGCAUGUGGCUCUGAGAAAGCACUGGACACCACUGAACACUGUUGACAGGGCCCCUGUGGCCUCUCAGGUUUGUGGGAACCCUGUGUCAAUCAAGUUUACUGAAGCCAUUUUUGCAACAUCAUGUGCUCAGUUAGCGUCUCUCCAUCACAUUUUGGUAAUUCUCACAAUACUUCAAACUCUUUCAUUUAUUAUAUCUGUUAGAAUGAUCUGUGAUCAGUGAUCUUUGACGUUACUAUUGUAAACUGUUUUGGGGCAUCACAAAGUGCACCCAGAGAAGACGGCAAAUUUAAUCAAUAAAUGUGUAUGUUCUGGAGGUGCCACCUACCCAGUGUUCUCCUGUCUCUCUCCCUCUCCUCAGGCCUCCUUAAUCACUGAGACACAGCAAUAUGGAAAGUAGACCAGUUAAUAAUCCUACAAUAGACUCUAAGCAUUCAUUUGAAAUAAAGAGUCGCACAUCUCUCAUUUCAAAUCAAAGGCUAGAAAUGAUUAAGCUUAGUAAGGAAGACAUGCUGAAAGCUGAUACAGGCAGAAAACCAGACCUCUUGCACCACAUAACUAAGUCAUGAACACAAAGAAAAAAUUAUUGAAGGGAAUUAAAAGUGCUGCUCCAGUGAACACAUGAAUGAGAAGAAAAUGAAACAGGCUUACUGCCGAUAUGGAGAAAGUUUUCGUGAUUUAGAUAGAAGAUUAAACACAACAUUCCCUUAAGCCAAAGCCUAAUCCAGAGCAAGGCCCUAAUGUUACUCAUUGCCUACAUGACUUGGUUGGACUCCUACCCCAUUUUUGUUGGCCAAUGCAAUGCCUAUGUGACAUGGCUAAAUUCCUACUCAGCUUUAACUCCAUUUAUUUUUAGGAAACAGGAUGUCUGUGGUCAGAAGUUCCUUUUUAGGUCUAAACCAGCUAAAGCUGAUGAAAUCUACAAUGGCAGCUUACUUGACCUCUGAAGAACCUCUGGCUUCAUUAUAAUCCAAUUUCCAUGCUAAGUGACACUCCCAUCAGCACCAUGACAGUUGACAAUCACCACGACAAUGACCAGAAAAGACCAGGAAAGCAUAGAAAAGAGGUGCCUCCUUGAUUCCAGGAAAAUCUCCAUCCCUUUCCAAGAAAAAUAUAUUCCUCUCCUGGCUCUUAAUGCCCAAACCCUUCA